RNAcentral lists this transfer RNA (77 nucleotides) under Blastocatellia bacterium. Its description in RNAcentral is "tRNA-Leu". It matches the Rfam family "tRNA". From Rfam's summary of the family: Transfer RNA (tRNA) molecules are approximately 80 nucleotides in length. Their secondary structure includes four short double-helical elements and three loops (D, anti-codon, and T loops). The record is from RNAcentral. Lineage: Bacteria; Pseudomonadati; Acidobacteriota; Blastocatellia.
GCACGGGUCGCCAAAAUAGCAAAGGCGUCGGUCUUAGAAACCGAAGAUUGCGGUUUCGAAUCCCGCCCUGUGUACCA